AAUAAACAAGUUUCUUAUAGGUCUAUGCAUGAAGUUGUACAUAGAGCAUGCUUUUUAGUGGCCUCAAAGGCUUCCACUACUGCAUGUUUCUGUCGGUUUAAUAUAUCCUGAAACAAGUAGUAGUGGAUGCCUGGAGGUCCAUUAAAGGCAA
Molecule: microRNA precursor, 151 nt
Filed under: Glycine max (soybean)
Lineage: Eukaryota; Viridiplantae; Streptophyta; Magnoliopsida; Fabales; Fabaceae
Description: miR5037 stem-loop (gma-MIR5037a)
Source: miRBase by way of RNAcentral